AUGACUGAAGAGGAAUUUAAUCAUAUAGUUAAAAAACCAAUAGACAAUGCAGGACACGGUACACAUGUUGCAGGUAUUAUAGGAAGUAGGUCAAAUAGCAUAGGUAUGGUUGGCGUUGCACCAAACGUAUCUAUACUGCCAUUAAAAUUCACACGAACUAAAGCCGGUGGGAAUACUUAUUAUGCCAUUAAAGCUUUAAAUGUUUGUUUACUUAAUAAAUCUCCUAUCAUAAACGUCAGUUGGGGAUCUGCUCAUUAUGAUUCAGGAUUAUACCAAGCAUUUAAUAGAUUGCAAUACUCGUUCAAGGGAAAAGGUUCUGUUAUAGUUGCAGCUGCAGGAAAUACUAAUAACAACAAUGACGAAUCCUACAUAUACCCUUCAAGUUUUAAGAUACCCCAGAUGUACAGUGUCGCAUCUCUUAGUGAUGAUUAUGACGUGUCCUUUUUCUCGAAUUACGGAAAAAAAACCGUGCACAUACUUGCACCAGGUAAUGAAAUUUAUUCUUUGUAUCCAAAUAAUUCAUACAAAAUGAAUGCUGGUACUUCAAUGGCAGCUCCACAUGUCAGUGGUGUUGCUGCUUUAAUAUAUUCAGUUUGCUGCAUCCAGAGAUACAUGCCUGAAGCAACAGAAGUAAUCGAUAUUGUUUCAAGAACGUCAGUAAAAGUAGAUACUGCAAAGAAAACAGUUCAUGGUGCUUAUAUAAAUGCUGAAGCAGCAGUACUAACUACUUUAAUGGGCGGGUUAUGGAUGCAAAUUAAUUGUGACCAUUCUAAGGUUCAGCUGGGAAAAAAUCAGAAAAAACAUAUACCUAUAGUUUUUUCAGGAUAUAAAAAUGGAAUAUAUAAAACAAAUAUUAUUUUAGGAAUAACACCUGUUGAUAAAGAUUCAGAAGUAUAUGGAGAAAUUGUAAUACCAAUAAGAAUAGUUACUGAUGUUAAAUAUCCCAAUUUUGUUGCUUCUCCCCGAUUUGGAAACCCAUGUCGAUAAAUAAAGACGAAGCACCAAAUGAUGAAUUAUUGGAUUAUAUGUGUAAUAAUUCAUUGUAUGACAUUCAAAAAAAUAACCCAACGGAAUACGAACAUAGUAUCAAUAAUAUUAUUGUUAUCAUCUAUAUGUUGUGUGGGGUUAAUAUGCUUCGGUAUUGUAAAAAUAUUACAAAAUAUGUUUUCCAUAAUAAAUAAGAACCUGAACAAAAAUAAGCGUCA
RNAcentral lists this long non-coding RNA (1205 nucleotides) under Piliocolobus tephrosceles (Ugandan red Colobus). RNAcentral describes it as "lncRNA (ENSPTEG00000026658.1)". Lineage: Eukaryota; Metazoa; Chordata; Mammalia; Primates; Cercopithecidae. The record is from RNAcentral.